UAUAAGGCUUGUUUAGAAUGCAAGGCUUCCUCAAUUCUCCACCCUUCCCCUCUUGACAUCUUGCUCUUCUUCCCUUCAUCUAUUGUGUUAGUCAGGUGCAUGCUGGUCUUCCCUCUAUCAAACUACAGGACUUUCAUAGUUUUGAACAAGUCAGAACCUGAAAGAAUUUGCUUCCAGAACAGGACAUUGACAGGAAAAUUAAGCAUGAUCAUGCCGAGUAAAAUAGGAAUAAGAAUUGGACCUACCUCAAGAUCUGUUGAGAAGAUUAUGAGAGAGCUGAUGGAUCUAAAAGAUUGGCGCUUGAUAGAAUUGGGAUCAUUUGUUUUGACUAGAACAAUCUCUUGCAGCUUGGAUGGAGAAACUUUACAGAGGUUUCAGCCAAACACUCAUGAAUUCUUUAAUGUGUGAAAUAAAGAGCUAAAAUAAUAUCUAAGUUUCCUCUUUGCCUGACGCCAUCCAUGCAAAAUGUGACUUGCUUCUUCAGCAGCAGCAUGAAAACAAACUAAUACACCACUAUUCCUAGUUUGUACAACGAAAGGCUAAAAAUUUGGGAGAUGCAGGAUGACUGAAGCCCGAUUCUGGGGGUUGUUACAGCACAGUUACAGGGCCUUCCUCACACCCAUGUCUUCAGAUACCCAAGGCCUUUAAUACCCAAGUCCUUCCAGGAUUCUGCACAUCUCAUUAGCUUCAUAUUCCCUCUAUUUGAAAAGUUCAUAUGGACCCAGCUCUGUCAUCAUCACAUGUUCUAUAUCCCCAAACCUUGUGACAUCUGCAAAGAAGUACAGAAGACCUCAAGAGAAGAUAAGCUAGAAUUUAUUUAUUUUUAUACCUUUUAUUCAGUUUUUAUUAAAG
This 852-nucleotide long non-coding RNA is filed under the name Homo sapiens (human). RNAcentral's name for it is "HSALNT0364206". Lineage: Eukaryota; Metazoa; Chordata; Mammalia; Primates; Hominidae. The record is from RNAcentral.